This 2702-nucleotide long non-coding RNA is filed under the name Sus scrofa (pig). Its description in RNAcentral is "lncRNA (ENSSSCG00055006539.1)". The record is from RNAcentral. Lineage: Eukaryota; Metazoa; Chordata; Mammalia; Artiodactyla; Suidae.
AUGAUAAAGGGUUAAUUUAUCCAGAAAGCAUAACAAUAAUAAACAUACAGGAGCUUAAAAAUAGAGCCCCAAAGUACAUAAAGGCAACUGGGUUCUUCAAGAGUACAGGAGAAGCAACUCUGUUCUAAAUAUUUGACCCCAUGACCCACUAUGGUGCUUAAUAAUCUACCACUAGGGAUUUACCUCUUUGGGUUAAAGUUUUACAUCCCUUAGAGUUCUUUGCUAAAGUAUAAAUAUGACCCUGAACACCACUGGCAUUAACCUUAGCUGAAAUUGCUUUAAGAGCCUUUGGAGCACUGAUCACUAGUGACAGAGACUGAAGGUUGAGUCAUUUACAGUGGAGGAUGCAGGUGUGGUCUGGAAUGGACCAUAGGAGGAGGGGAAUGAAUCCAAGACUGAGUGACACUAUUAACACUGAGGAAAGAGUACAGGGUGGGGAGGCGGGGGAGGAAGCUAGGAUGAAUGAAAAGACCCCAGGGAGACUGUGAGGGGAAAUAAGUGCUGGACAAGGAGCAAAGUGAAUAGGGUGUUGGUUUGGUGCUGGAGUUCGCAGUGGCCAUGCAGGGCAGAGGCAGCAGCAGACCCGGGAAAAGCACAGGGAGUCAGAAUAGGGAGCACACCUGGGAGCAGGGAUGGUGAUGACCACAGAGCAUCCCCAGGGAAAAACACUGGGAACGGGUCUAGGCAACGGGCUGAGGUCUGGAGAACCACAGCAGGGAGGCAGAGUGGUGGGAUGUAAGCCUACCUGGAAAACCAGGAAACUCGCAGGACAAAGACAGGCAGGGCCAAGAGGCAACACCAGGUUCAAGCUCAGAACAAAUGGGCCAGACAAGCAGGCAGGCGAACGAGGUGGCGUCUGUGAGGUGCCUAGUUACGGAAAACACUUACUGUUAGCUGGUGCUAAAUCUGAAGCCGGAUCGAGGAAGUGAUCCGGGCAGCAACUCAGUCUUGAUAACAACAGCAGCCCCUCCUUGUCAGCCACUCCUUGAGUGUUCAGAGCUCUUCACAUACACUGUCUCACAUGGUACCUAAAACUUCCCUGUGCGGUAGGCAUGGAAACCUCCCAUCCACAGACGGCUAGGAAACCUGGUUAAGUGACUCGCUCAGGGUCAGCCUAAGUUGGACAAUGAACGUGAGCCAUCUGAGCAGGCACAACCCAAAGCAUCAACAGCCUACCCCAUAUUUUACGGAUGCAAUGGGGGCCCAGGGAGGGAGUGGGCUUGCCCUGGUGCUCCGUGCUGGCUUUUGCUCCCCACCCACUGUGGGUGGGGAGGUGAGAGAAGUCUGCACAAGGCUGGCCCCUGCCUCUGGCCCAGGGGCUCUGAUCCUCUUGCAGGUCUGGGCUGGACCACAAGUAACACCCUGCAGGGCUCUGGCCGGUGCUCCCCCCCUACCUGGCUGGCUACGUGCGGAGUCCUGAAUGGUUUUCUUGGAGGGCUGUGUGGACAUUUUCUGGCCCCUCCCUCCCUGCACACCCCACCCACUUUCCUGCAGGGGGUCUGGGUCUAGCCCCAGCAGUAAUCGGCAGUCUCAUCAAAGCUCCCGCCCAGGGCAAGAGCGCCCUCACCAGCCCCCAACACAGCCAGCGAUGCUGGACCACUGCCAGGGGCUGGGACCACACACCAGCCCAGAUCAUCCUGGUGUCAGGCCUCCCUGCCAGCCUGCCAAUCUGCCCGGUUAAUCAUCAGGUACGACUUUCCAAGAGCUAUUUUGAGAAACAUGUAGAGAAUGGCUUUUACGCAGCUAUAUAUACCUCAUUGAUACCCUCGGACGUGGUCGCUCCGUGUAGCAGCACAUGGUUCUGCUCCCCCGGUUUUCUUUCCAUCUCUGCGUCAAAGUCAAGCAGUGAGCAAGCCCACUCCCUGACCCCAAGCAUACAGUUAUCACCCACAUCCCUUGGAGUCAGGGGUGUGAGUGAGCAGAGGGCAGGAAGGCUGUGGGUUUUGUAAAGCAUGGCUCCAGAGAACCCAAGGCGACCAUUACUGAAGGGGUGGAGGCCGUGGAGAGGGCAGGGCCCUGAAGCUUGGGAAGGAGCAGGACCCCGGGGCGGAGAGGGGGGAGCAAGAUGCAGGUGCCCUGGUCUGCUUCUCUCAACACCCACGGGCAUCUCAAGGUCCACGAAGCACGUGCCAAAGGCAUCCCACUGACAUCCAGAGAACAGGCUCCAAGGCCAAGCCAACCACCCUGGCCUUGCCCAGUGCUGCGUCUUUGGCCUACAGGAAGCAGCAAGUCUGCCCUGCACGGUUGCCAUGGCAACCCCGGGAGCCCAAGGGCAGUGGGGGAGAAGGGUGAUGGAGAAGGCACGCAGUGGCUUUUCUGGAAAAGCCCAUCUGUUUCUCUCCCCCAGGAAACCAAGCUGGUGGGUGGUGGUAGGGGGGCUGGGUGUGGAAGGAACAGGCAUCUGGGUCUCCCCAGAGGAGGGAGAGAAAGACUCUAAGAUGCUCCAAGGGCAGCUCUCCUGACAGGAUCUGCUUCUCUUCCUUUGGGUGGAAGGCAUGUCACUGACCAGGACAAAGGUCUGGGUGGGCCCCUCGGUGGGUGGGGGCGCCUGUGCAGGAGUCCGUGUGCAGGAGACAGGGGAGUCCUGUGGCCACAGGCCCGGGCAGGGGUCCCAGGAGGCCGGUAUCAGCCGCAGCAGGCUUUCUUCUUGGUGAGGCGGUCAACCUGAACGGUUUCCUCCCUCACUGUGUCUUCUUGCUCCU